CGCAAGUCGUGGGGCAGCAUGGGGUAGCAAUACUCUGAUGGCGACCGGCAAACGGGUGCGGAACACGUACGCAACCUUCCCAAAACUGGUGAAUAGCCCUCCGAAAGGAGGAUUAAUACACCGUAACAUAACGAAGUGGCAUCACUUUGUUAUUAUAGCUCCGGCGGUUUUGGAUGGGCGUGCGCCUGAUUAGGUAGUUGGCGGGGUAACGGCCCACCAAGCCUACGAUCAGUAACUGGUGUGAGAGCACGACCAGUCACACGGGCACUGAGACACGGGCCCGACUCCUACGGGAGGCAGCAGUAAGGAAUAUUGGUCAAUGGACGCAAGUCUGAACCAGCCAUGCCGCGUGAAGGAUGAAGGUCCUCUGGAUUGUAAACUUCUUUUAUCUGGGACGAAAAAAGGGCUUUCUAGCUCACUUGACGGUACCAGAGGAAUAAGCACCGGCUAACUCCGUGCCAGCAGCCGCGGUAAUACGGAGGGUGCGAGCGUUAUCCGGAUUUACUGGGUUUAAAGGGUGCGUAGGUGGGCAGGUAAGUCAGUGGUGAAAUCUUCGAGCUUAACUCGGAAACUGCCAUUGAUACUAUCUGUCUUGAAUGCCCUGGAGGUAAGCGGAAUAUGUCAUGUAGCGGUGAAAUGCUUAGAUAUGACAUAGAACACCAAUUGCGAAGGCAGCUUGCUACGGGGUGAUUGACACUGAGGCACGAAAGCGUGGGGAUCAAACAGGAUUAGAUACCCUGGUAGUCCACGCCCUAAACGAUGGAUACUCGACAUACGCGAUACACUGUGUGUGUCUGAGCGAAAGCAUUAAGUAUCCCACCUGGGAAGUACGACCGCAAGGUUGAAACUCAAAGGAAUUGACGGGGGGUCCGCACAAGCGGUGGAGCAUGUGGUUUAAUUCGAUGAUACGCGAGGGAAACCUUACCUGGGGCUAGAAUGCGGUUUG
This 946-nucleotide ribosomal RNA is filed under the name uncultured Flavobacteriia bacterium. Its description in RNAcentral is "bacterial SSU rRNA". It matches the Rfam family "Bacterial small subunit ribosomal RNA", at positions 56 to 995 of the family's 1533-position model. Lineage: Bacteria; Pseudomonadati; Bacteroidota; Flavobacteriia. The record is from RNAcentral.